Molecule: ribosomal RNA, 253 nt
Filed under: uncultured bacterium
Lineage: Bacteria
Description: partial 16S ribosomal RNA
Rfam family: Bacterial small subunit ribosomal RNA
Source: RNAcentral
UACGUAGGUGACAAGCGUUGUCCGGAUUUACUGGGCGUAAAGAGCGCGCAGGCGGUCGUUCAAGUCGAGUGUGAAAGCCCCCGGCUCAACUGGGGAGGGUCACUCGAUACUGAUCGACUCGAAGGCAGGAGAGGGUAGUGGAAUUCCCGGUGUAGUGGUGAAAUGCGUAGAUAUCGGGAGGAACACCUGUGGCGAAGGCGGCCGCCUGGUUGGAUACUGACGCUGAGACGCGAAAGCGUGGGGAGCAAACAGG